Molecule: long non-coding RNA, 1475 nt
Organism: Gorilla gorilla gorilla (western lowland gorilla)
Lineage: Eukaryota; Metazoa; Chordata; Mammalia; Primates; Hominidae
Exons: 6
Source: RefSeq, a predicted model, not a curated record
CCAGGGUUAGGGUUUUAGGGUCAGGGCCCGGGGCCCAGGGUUAGGGUGAUUUCCAGGAAGUGACCUCACAACGACUCAAGCUACCACUUACUGUUGAUUGUGAUGAAAUGCCAGCUGAGGCACACGCCUUGGGAGCUAAGUGGUUGCUGCACUUGACCACUAUGAAGACUGGUGUGGGAAGGGUCGCUUUGGAUGCACUUGAGCAGGGGUCCCCAACCCCUGAGCCAUGGAGCCGUAAGGAGCCACACAGCAGGUGGGACCAUCCAGUUUCAGGAAAACAAGCUUAACACGCCCACUGAUUCUACAUUAUGCUCCUACCUCCCGGCAGCCUCGCCAGGCCCAGAACUCUCUCCAGUCAGCCUCUACAGACCAAGCUCAUGACUCACAAUGGCCUAUUUAGGCCCAUACCCUACCUCACGGCAGUCUCCGCAGAUGAGCCUACUGACUCACAACAGCCUCCACAGGCACAACUCCAUCGUUACAAUGGCCUCUUUAGACCCAGCUCCUGCCGCCCAGCCUUCUCUCCAGGCCUUGAACUUUCUCCGGUCUCCCUCUGUUGUCCGAGGCUGGAGGGUAGUAGUGCUAUCGCAGCUGACUGCAGCCUCAACCUUCCAGGCUGAAGCGAUCCUCCCAUCUCAACCUCCCACGUGGCUGAGACUACAGGUGCUUGCCACUAUGCCCAACUAAUAUUUGGUAUUUUCGUAUACGUGGAUUCCAGAGGGGUGACAGCGAAACGUGGGACCAUCCAGUUUCAGGAAAACAAGCUUAACACGCCCACUGAUUCUACAUUAUGAUUCUUCAGGCCCAGCAUCUGCCUCACUGUGGACCCCCCAAGCCAAGCUCCCAACCUUUCAGCAGCUUCUACACACCCAGCUCCCGCCUGCCAGUGGCCUCUUCAGGCCCAUGGGGCUCAUUCCUCACAACAGCCUUUCCAGUCCCAGUUUUUCCCUUCCGGCGGCCUCUCCGGGCUGAGAACCUCCUCAAGUCGGCCUCUCCAGACUCACUUGCACCCUCCAGGCGUCCUCUCCGGGCCAAGCUCCUCUUCCUGGCUGCGUCUCCAGGCCCGACUCCUGCCUCUCAACAACCUCUUUGGACUCAGUGCCUACCCAUCUCCUGGCGUCCUUGGUCGGCCCAUAGCUUCCUCAAGCCAAGCUCCCCAGGCCCAGGUCAGGCCUCACGGUGCCCCCUCCACGAUGAGCUCCUGCCCUCCAAUGGCACCUGCAGGACCCAAAUGGUCUCCGGUCGGUGGGCUCCUCCACGCCAAGCUUGGGCCUCCCGGUGACCUCUGCAGGCCCAAGUUGUCCUGAAGUCGGCAUCUCCCAGCCAUGCCUCCCAGCAAGUAAGCAAGCUCUUUUGGCUCAACUCCUGCCCAGCUCCCAACCGCCUUUGUAGGUCCCGAACUUUCUCCAGCCAAGUUCUUUGGGCCUCAUUCCUGCCGCCCGGUGGCCUGUACGGGCCCAGCAAUGGUUGGAGAA